Cerioporus squamosus is the source of this 91-nucleotide non-coding RNA. The record is from the annotation of a GenBank genome assembly. NCBI's taxonomy places the organism in Eukaryota, Fungi, Basidiomycota, Agaricomycetes, Polyporales, Polyporaceae.
AGCAACUUGACGCAGUGGAAGCGUGCAGGGCUCAUAACGGACGGUCCGAAUUGGAACCCUGAAGUCCCUGGAUCGAAACCAGGAGUUGCUA